Long non-coding RNA from Peromyscus eremicus (cactus mouse), 247 nucleotides. RefSeq lists it as uncharacterized. The record is from RefSeq and is a predicted model, not a curated record. The transcript is spliced from 2 exons. NCBI's taxonomy places the organism in Eukaryota, Metazoa, Chordata, Mammalia, Rodentia, Cricetidae.
UUCUUUGAAAGAGCACCAUCAAGUACCAAGGCAGAAGUGGAAGGAGGCUUGAAUGCCAUCAUUCACCACAACUCUGGAAUCUAGAAUUCUAGACAGUGGUGGAAGAGUCUUUUCCAACUAGACUCCAGUGAUGAUGAUUUGGGAAGGAUGUCCAUCACAGUUUGUGUUAAAGUAAUAGACCUAACAAGAUGAAAGACAAGGCAAAGAAGAAGUUAAAAGGCUGCAAUUUUAAACCAGACAAAUAUAA